RNAcentral lists this unclassified non-coding RNA (214 nucleotides) under Hevea brasiliensis (rubber tree). The record is from RNAcentral. Lineage: Eukaryota; Viridiplantae; Streptophyta; Magnoliopsida; Malpighiales; Euphorbiaceae.
AGCAGCCAGCUCGGAUUGUACAUAUGCAAAUAAGAAGGUUAAGGAACAGAGAUAUACCAAUGGUUAAAGUCCCAUGGAAUUACCACAACCUAGAAGAAUGCACAUGGGAGACCCGUGAUUCAAUGCCUGUAAGACCCAAAUGGAUCUUCUUCAACAGAGCAUCAGAAAGCAUUUUUUAUGGCGAUAAAAGGUUGUAUGGUGGUCGACGACGCUU